CUGAGCUGGGGCUAAAACAGCUACAUGAUCUCAUCCUCCAAAUUAGUCUAGUCUUGACUUCUUAACAGUUUGAAGUGAGGCUCCAAGAAGUGCUCUGAGAGAACAAGCUCCACUGUGAACAAGCUUAUGAAGGCUCUUCGUUAGGGUCAAGGCUGAAGAGACCACUCAAGAGGCCAUGUGGGAGGGAACUGAAGCCCCCUGACAACAGCCAUUUGAGUGAACUUGUAAGUGGACCCUUCAGCUCUAAAUGACUGCAGCCCUGGCCAACACCUUGACCACAGCCUGUAAGAGACCUGAGAUAGAACUAUCCAGCUAAGAUGUCUUCUUUCAGGAAGUCCUUCUGGACCUGCACUCUCCAUCCUGAGCAGGUUUACAUGCUCCUACUCUGUGCUUCAUAAAAUCCUGAGAAUUAGCUUCAUCACUGGACUACAGGAUAGAUCUAGAAUAAUAUGUUUUUUAUGUGAGCUUGUGAAGUGACUGCUACUGAGUUUGGAAUGUUACUGUUUCAUCCUGAAAGACAGUGUUCUCUCCUGAGGUCUGGAGAUUGACAUUUCUGUGGACUUAAUCUAUAUGUCCAAGGACACUUCAAAGGUUAAGCAAAUUCUAUUU
RNAcentral lists this long non-coding RNA (609 nucleotides) under Equus caballus (horse). RNAcentral describes it as "lncRNA (ENSECAG00000057050.1)". The record is from RNAcentral. Lineage: Eukaryota; Metazoa; Chordata; Mammalia; Perissodactyla; Equidae.